Ailuropoda melanoleuca (giant panda) is the source of this 884-nucleotide RNA transcript. It is a transcript of the gene named XRN2 binding domain containing 1, with no coding region annotated. The transcript is spliced from 5 exons. The record is from RefSeq and is a predicted model, not a curated record. NCBI's taxonomy places the organism in Eukaryota, Metazoa, Chordata, Mammalia, Carnivora, Ursidae.
GUGACGCGGUGCGACUCGGGAAGGCGGCGGGCGGGUGCAGCCCUCGGCGGCGGAGGGCGCCAUGGUGGGUGGCGAGGCUGCCGCCGCGGUGGAGGAGCUAGUUUCGGGGGUGCGGCAGGCGGCCGACUUCGCGGAGCAGUUCCGCUCCUAUUCGGAGAGCGAGAAGCAAUGGAAGGCUCGCAUGGAAUUCAUCCUGCGCCACUUGCCCGACUACCGCGACCCACCCGAUGGCGGUGGCCGCUUGGACCAGCUGCUGUCCCUCUCCAUGGUGUGGGCCAAUCACCUCUUCCUGGGUUGCAGUUACAACAAAGACCUUUUAGACAAAGUGAUGGAAAUGGCUGAUGGGAUUGAAGUGGAAGACCUGCCACAGUUUACUACCAGAAGUGAAUUAAUGAAAAAGAACAUUUUUAUCCAAGAAGGAAAAUGGCAGCAUGGAAAGUGACUGGAUAUGAAAUGUGAACGAGAAGAAUCCUUCACUGAAAAGCAUGCCACGAAGAAAGUUAUAUUUCAGCAUCAAAGCUAAGGCAGAAGAUUCAUCACAUUUUCAACAUGAGCUACAGGCUUAGGAAAGGAGUCUGGGAUGAAUGUGACAUGGACCACAGCAGCUCUCUUAAGAUUCCUGGUAUUUCCAACAUGUAGGAAGGAGGCAGUUGGAAUGACAAUCUUGUCUAGCUUGGAGUUUUAAAAGGUCUCAUUCUUCCAGUAGCUAUCAUUGUAAAAGUGUGCAUGGAUAUUUAUGUAUUUACAAAUCAUGCCCUCUUUUUUAAUUUUCUCUUUUUGAAUGUCAAACUUUUUGUUAAAAAUGCCUAUUUUUUUAUGUUGUAAUAAUUGCAGGUAGUGAAUUUUAUAAUUUGGACUUUUCAAUAAUAUAUCUUCAAAUCUGA